GGGCCCGUAGCUCAGUGGUUUAGAGCGCUCGCCUCACACGCGAGAGGUCACAGGUUCGAAUCCCGUCGGGCC
This 72-nucleotide transfer RNA is filed under the name Rhodothermaceae bacterium. RNAcentral describes it as "tRNA-Val". It matches the Rfam family "tRNA". Rfam says of the family: Transfer RNA (tRNA) molecules are approximately 80 nucleotides in length. Their secondary structure includes four short double-helical elements and three loops (D, anti-codon, and T loops). Further hydrogen bonds mediate the characteristic L-shaped molecular structure. tRNAs have two regions of fundamental functional importance: the anti-codon, which is responsible for specific mRNA codon recognition, and the 3' end, to which the tRNAs corresponding amino acid is attached (by aminoacyl-tRNA synthetases). tRNAs cope with the degeneracy of the genetic code in two manners: having more than one tRNA (with a specific anti-codon) for a particular amino acid; and 'wobble' base-pairing, i.e. permitting non-standard base-pairing at the 3rd anti-codon position. The record is from RNAcentral. Lineage: Bacteria; Pseudomonadati; Rhodothermota; Rhodothermia; Rhodothermales; Rhodothermaceae.